RNAcentral lists this ribosomal RNA (483 nucleotides) under uncultured bacterium. Its description in RNAcentral is "partial 16S ribosomal RNA". It matches the Rfam family "Bacterial small subunit ribosomal RNA", at positions 30 to 506 of the family's 1533-position model. The record is from RNAcentral.
AUUGAACGCUGGCGGCAGGCCUAACACAUGCAAGUCGAGCGGAUGAAGGGAGCUUGCUCCUGGAUUCAGCGGCGGACGGGUGAGUAAUGCCUAGGAAUCUGCCUGGUAGUGGGGGAUAACGUCCGGAAACGGGCGCUAAUACCGCAUACGUCCUGAGGGAGAAAGUGGGGGAUCUUCGGACCUCACGCUAUCAGAUGAGCCUAGGUCGGAUUAGCUAGUUGGUGGGGUAAAGGCCUACCAAGGCGACGAUCCGUAACUGGUCUGAGAGGAUGAUCAGUCAAACGGAACUGGAACACCGUUCAAGACUCCUAGGGGAGGGCGAGGGGGGAAAUUUUGGGAAAUGGGGGAAACCCUGAUCCGGCCGGGCCGGUGGGUUGAAGAAGGGUUUCGGAUUUGAAGGCCUUUUAAUGGGGGGGGAAGUGCAAAAAGUUAAUUCCUGGCUUUUUUGACGUUACCGACAAAAAAAGCACCGCCAAAUUUCGG